UACGUAGGGUGCAAGCGUUAAUCGGAAUUACUGGGCGUAAAGCGUGCGCAGGCGGUUAUGUAAGACAGAUGUGAAAUCCCCGGGCUCAACCUGGGAACUGCAUUUGUGACUGCAUAGCUAGAGUACGGUAGAGGGGGAUGGAAUUCCGCGUGUAGCAGUGAAAUGCGUAGAUAUGCGGAGGAACACCGAUGGCGAAGGCAAUCCCCUGGACCUGUACUGACGCUGAGGAGCGAAAGCCAGGGGAGCAAACGGG
RNAcentral lists this ribosomal RNA (253 nucleotides) under uncultured bacterium. RNAcentral's name for it is "partial 16S ribosomal RNA". It matches the Rfam family "Bacterial small subunit ribosomal RNA", at positions 524 to 776 of the family's 1533-position model. The record is from RNAcentral.